Molecule: long non-coding RNA, 1186 nt
Organism: Drosophila yakuba
Lineage: Eukaryota; Metazoa; Arthropoda; Insecta; Diptera; Drosophilidae
Exons: 2
Source: RefSeq, a predicted model, not a curated record
GGAAACGUCGCCACGGAGCUCCUCGGGAAAUUCGCGUAGCGUCUGCAAGUCGGGGAAAAACCGAAAGGAAAUGUGCUAGCAAUGCCAUUGCGCUUGAAAUACCAGAAUGCCAGAAUGCCAGAGCACGGAUGACCAAUCAAAGGUGUGCCACACAUUUGGCAUUUGACCCGCAGCCAAUCAAUAAGUCACAUGUCGAACUAAAGUACUGUAUAUACUUGUAUGUUAACCCCACGGACAUUUGCUUAAUUAAGGGCUCAGACGUUUAUCGGAGAGGAAAGGCCGCUGGCACUGAUGAUUCUGUGCCAUUCUGCCAUUUCGAUUCUGGAUCUGAAGUUCUGAAGUUUGAGUGAAGUCAGUCAAGUUGAAUCCCAGCGAUAGAUUGCUGCGUCGACAACUUUGGCAAUCAUAUUUUUGGGGGACGUACAGAGAAACAAAUAGUUUUGUUAAGCGGGAAAGUGUCAUGGGAACUAAGGGAAAUAAGAUAUGAGAAAAGAAAAAUACCUCUGAAAUGUAAGUAACAGAGAACCUUUCCAAUUAUUAUACAUCUUAUUGAAUAUUUAUUAAAUAUAUUCCCCAGUGUACUGUCUUCAAUAUUUAUGGCACACACACUCGCACACACGAAGACGGAUAUGCCUUUGGGCAAUCGGGUGUUCGGUGUUUGGAGUUCGGUGCUCACCUCGUAUAUAUCAAUGCCAUGGCUGAGUGACCAGGAGGUCUGAAAGUAGUCUUCAAUGCGCUGCUUCAGCUCCUUGGGCAUCUGUAAUGAAGAGAUCAUAAAUUAUAAUUGCAUUCGCAUUGCUUUAGUUUCCCCUCCCCCUCCAUCUUGGCGUUAAAUGAGCUGCGAGGCGCGCUACUUUCACUUCAUUUGCAUGCAUUUCGCGGUUGAGAGCCGCACAAAUGCGCUUAAUUGUGCAGCGCAUUGCGUAUGCGGCGUGGGUGCAGCUCGUUGCGUAUACGCCGCGUGUGCUGCCUAAUGGAGCGACGCUCAAGUUUGCCCCAUCAACAGGUUGUAGGCCACGCAAACACGAUGUCCCCGGGAAUAUGCUAGUUGCUGGAUGCUGGAUGCUAGAAUCAGCAAUUCAUGGCCUUGAGCGACCCGUUUCCGUUCCAUUUUCCAUUUCCUGCCCAGCGUUGCGUGGCAUAUGGAAAAUGUGCGCUGCAUUCUAAUAAAAUCCAUCGAGUGGCA